UAGAUGGAUGUUUAAGUCAGUUGUGAAAGUUUGCGGCUCAACCGUAAAAUUGCAGUUGAUACUGGAUAUCUUGAGUGCAGUUGAGGCAGGCGGAAUUCGUGGUGUAGCGGUGAAAUGCUUAGAUAUCACGAAGAACUCCGAUUGCGAAGGCAGCCUGCUAAGCUGCAACUGACAUUGAGGCUCGAAAGUGUGGGUAUCAAACAGGAUUAGAUGCCCUGGUAGUCCACACGGUAAACGAUGAAUACUCGCUGUUUGCGAUAUACAGCAAGCGGCCAAGCGAAAGCGUUAAGUAUUCCACCUGGGGAGUACGCCGGCAACGGUGAAACUCAAAGGAAUUGACGGGGGCCCGCACAAGCGGAGGAACAUGUGGUUUAAUUCGAUGAUACGCGAGGAACCUUACCCGGGCUUAAAUUGCAGAUGAAUUACGGUGAAAGCCGUAAGCCGCAAGGCAUCUGUGAAGGUGCUGCAUGGUUGUCGUCAGCUCGUGCCGUGAGGUGUCGGCUUAAGUGCCAUAACGAGCGCAACCCUUGUUGUCAGUUACUAACAGGUUUUGCUGAGGACUCUGACAAGACUGCCAUCGUAAGAUGUGAGGAAGGUGGGGAUGACGUCAAAUCAGCACGGCCCUUACGUCCGGGGCUACACACGUGUUACAAUGGGGGGGUACAGAGGGCCGCUACCACGCGAGUGGAUGCCAAUCCCCAAAACCUCUCUCAGUUCGGACUGGAGUCUGCAACCCGACUCCACGAAGCUGGAUUCGCUAGUAAUCGCGCAUCAGCCACGGCGCGGUGAAUACGUUCCCGGGCCUUGUACACACCGCCCGUCAAGCCAUGGGAGCCGGGGGUACCUGAAGUGCGUAACCGCGAGGAGCGCCCUAGGGUAAAACUGGUGA
RNAcentral lists this ribosomal RNA (889 nucleotides) under uncultured organism. RNAcentral describes it as "SSU rRNA". It matches the Rfam family "Bacterial small subunit ribosomal RNA", at positions 572 to 1474 of the family's 1533-position model. The record is from RNAcentral.